This 279-nucleotide ribosomal RNA is filed under the name uncultured bacterium. RNAcentral's name for it is "partial 16S ribosomal RNA". It matches the Rfam family "Bacterial small subunit ribosomal RNA", at positions 506 to 784 of the family's 1533-position model. The record is from RNAcentral.
UGCCAGCCGCCGCGGUAAUACGGAGGGUGCGAGCGUUAAUCGGAAUUACUGGGCGUAAAGCGCACGCAGGCGGUUUGUUAAGCUAGAUGUGAAAGCCCCGGGCUCAACCUGGGAUGGUCAUUUAGAACUGGCAGACUAGAGUCUUGGAGAGGGGAGUGGAAUUCCAGGUGUAGCGGUGAAAUGCGUAGAUAUCUGGAGGAACAUCAGUGGCGAGGGCAGCUUACUGGACGAUGACUGACGCUGAGGUGCGAAAGCGUGGGGAGCAAACAGGAUUAGAUA